CUUCAGCAGGAACAUGGACAGCUCAUCCACAGUAAUGGGAGGGGGCAGGGGGAUGAUUGUCCUGUUGGGAAAUGUGGAACUUCUUCCUGACCCAUCCUGGUUUACUCAUUAAAUGUGCCUCAAGGUCAUCGGAUGAAAGAGAAGAUUGGAAGAAGCUACUGAAGGUAAAGCAGAAAUAUAAGGGAUAAUUCCUCAACUACAGUGGACAGAGCUGGAAUCUGAGCCAAGCGGAGCAGUCAUGCUGAGUUCAGGAAGCCUCACUGCUAAAUGCCACCUAUCAAAGUGGCCUCCCCUGACCAUCCUGUGUAAAAUAAUCCCUCCUUCCUCUCUA
Molecule: long non-coding RNA, 331 nt
Filed under: Homo sapiens (human)
Lineage: Eukaryota; Metazoa; Chordata; Mammalia; Primates; Hominidae
Description: HSALNT0262747
Source: RNAcentral